Molecule: non-coding RNA, 73 nt
Organism: Stegodyphus mimosarum
Lineage: Eukaryota; Metazoa; Arthropoda; Arachnida; Araneae; Eresidae
Source: Rfam
GCUUUCGUGGUGUAGUGGUCAGCACGCUCGAUUUGUAACCGAGAGGUCCGUGGUUCGAUUCCCGGCGAAGGCG